CUGGAGCCCUUAUAAAAAGAGGGAAAUUUGGACACACACACAAGGAGAAUGCCAUGGUGAGACAGAGGCAGAGAUUGGAGUGAGGCUUCCACAAGCCAAGGAACACCAAGGAUUGUCGGCCUGCAGCAGAAGAACACCAGCUCUGGGGGGAAACUGACUACCCUGAGACUACCACGCUGUGAAUAAGCCUAAGGAAGCCACACUGACAGGUCCUGGAAAGUGAGAUGCAUGUGGAGAGAGAGGAUGAGGACCACAGCGGUGCCGGACAUGAAUGUAAAGAAGCCAUCUUGGAAGUGUAUCCUAUAUGGAUCAGAGAUGCACCUCUCAGUUGAGUCCUUUCUAAAUUCCUCAUCCAUGAAAUUGUGAACAAAAUAAAAUAUUUAUUUUAAGCCACAAGGUUUUGGAGUAGUUUGUUAUGCAGCAAUACAUAGCCCGAAUAGUAGAGAUUUGAAGGAGGGAAUUUCAGAGAGGUGUGAGCGUGAAGAAAGAGGA
RNAcentral lists this long non-coding RNA (492 nucleotides) under Equus caballus (horse). Its description in RNAcentral is "lncRNA (ENSECAG00000048967.1)". Lineage: Eukaryota; Metazoa; Chordata; Mammalia; Perissodactyla; Equidae. The record is from RNAcentral.